RNAcentral lists this ribosomal RNA (774 nucleotides) under uncultured Neocallimastigales. RNAcentral describes it as "partial large subunit ribosomal RNA". It matches the Rfam family "Eukaryotic large subunit ribosomal RNA", at positions 22 to 637 of the family's 3401-position model. Lineage: Eukaryota; Fungi; Neocallimastigomycota; Neocallimastigomycetes; Neocallimastigales. The record is from RNAcentral.
GUACACGCUGUGACUAGCAUAUCAAUAAGCGGAGGAAAAGAAACUAACAAGGAUUCCCCUAGUAACGGCGAGUGAAGCGGGAAGAGCUCAAAUUUGAAAUCUUGAAGGGUUUCCCUUUACGAAUUAUAGUUUAAAGAAGUGUUUUCUGUUGAGGUUUUGGUAAAAGUUCUUUGGAAUAGGACAUCAUAGAGGGUGAGAAUCCCGUAUUUGACCUUUACUUUCAACUUUGUGAUACACUUUCAAAGAGUCGGAUUGUUUGGGAAUGCAGUCCAAAAUGGGUGGUAAAUUUCAUCUAAAGCUAAAUAUUGGCGAGAGACCGAUAGCGAACAAGUACCGUGAGGGAAAGAUGAAAAGAACUUUGAAAAGAGAGUUAAACAGUACGUGAAAUUGUCAAAAGGGAAGCGUUUGACACCAGUGUUGUUUUUCUGAAAAUCAAUUAAAGAACUGUUUAUGCUAAGUUGUUUAGACUUUAUCAGCUAUCUGUUUAGUUUUGAGCUUUUCUUUAAUGCACUUUUCAGUUAACAAGUCAACAUCAAUUUCUUUUGCUGUAAAAAAGCUUGAGGAAGGUGGCUUGAGAUUCGUCUUAAGUGUUUAUAGCCUCUUGCCUAUGCAGUCGGAGAGAUUGAGGUCUGCAGCGUAGAUCCUUCGGGGCUAAAUGCAUUUGUGCUAAGUUAUAGCAUUUUAUAGACAACUUGUUGACUAUGAUUUGUCUAGUAGCUUACUCGCUUAUGUUAUUUUACCUACGCUUAGGAUGUUGAUAUGCAUGACUGAUAU